This 67-nucleotide transfer RNA is filed under the name Marmota monax (woodchuck). Its description in RNAcentral is "tRNA.Ala". Lineage: Eukaryota; Metazoa; Chordata; Mammalia; Rodentia; Sciuridae. The record is from RNAcentral.
GGUUGUGGCAUAGUGGUAGAGCACUUACCUAGCAUGCAUGAGGUGCUGGGUUCAAUCCUCGGCACCA